UGGAAUUCAGGAACAAUGUUACAGAGGUA
Molecule: non-coding RNA, 29 nt
Filed under: Homo sapiens (human)
Lineage: Eukaryota; Metazoa; Chordata; Mammalia; Primates; Hominidae
Source: RNAcentral